UGAGUUUAGAAGAGGGCCAGCUAAAUCAGCAGAGACAUGAGGUGAUCAAAAACCUUUUUUCAAAGCAGUGGGAGCUGGACUACUUCUGAACCAAUA
This is a microRNA precursor of Homo sapiens (human), 96 nucleotides long. The record is from Ensembl. Lineage: Eukaryota; Metazoa; Chordata; Mammalia; Primates; Hominidae.